GGGCCCGCACAAGCGGUGGAGCAUGUGGUUUAAUUCGAUGAUACGCGAGGAACCUUACCAGGGCUUAAAUGUAGAUUGCAUUAGCUAGAGAUAGCUAUUUCUUCGGACUAUCUACAAGGUGCUGCAUGGUUGUCGUCAGCUCGUGCCGUGAGGUGUCAGGUUAAGUCCUAUAACGAGCGCAACCCCUGUUGUUAGUUGCCAGCGAGUCAAGUCGGGAACUCUAACAAGACUGCCAGUGCAAACUGUGAGGAAGGUGGGGAUGACGUCAAAUCAUCACGGCCCUUACGUCCUGGGCUACACACGUGCUACAAUGGUAGGUACAGAGAGCAGCCAAUGCGCGAGCAUGAGCAAAUCUAUAAAACCGAUCUCAGUUCGGAUCGCAGUCUGCAACUCGACUGCGUG
This 402-nucleotide ribosomal RNA is filed under the name uncultured bacterium. RNAcentral's name for it is "bacterial SSU rRNA". It matches the Rfam family "Bacterial small subunit ribosomal RNA", at positions 917 to 1322 of the family's 1533-position model. The record is from RNAcentral.